AGAGUUUGAUCCUGGCUCAGAUUGAACGCUGGCGGUAUGCUUAACACAUGCAAGUCGAACGGAAACGGAACUAGCUUGCUAGUAGACGUCGAGUGGCGGACGGGUGAGUAACGCGUAGGAAUCUGCCUGAUAGUGGGGGAUAGCCCGAAGAAAUUCGGAUUAAUACCGCAUAAUCUAUUCGUAGUAAAGUGAGGGACUUUCGAGCCUCACGCUAUCAGAUGAGCCUGCGUAAGAUUAGCUUGUUGGUAGGGUAAAAGCCUACCAAGGCAACGAUCUUUAGCUGGUCUGAGAGGAUGAUCAGCCACAUCGGGACUGAGACACGGCCCGAACUCCUACGGGAGGCAGCAGUGGGGAAUAUUGGACAAUGGGGGCAACCCUGAUCCAGCAAUACCGCGUGUGUGAAGAAGGCCUGAGGGUUGUAAAGCACUUUCAAUUGUGAAGAAAAGUUAACGGUUAAUAACCGUUGACCUUGACGUUAACUUUAGAAGAAGCACCGGCUAACUCCGUGCCAGCAGCCGCGGUAAUACGGAGGGUGCAAGCGUUAAUCGGAAUUACUGGGCGUAAAGCGUGCGUAGGCGGUUUAUUAAGUCAGAUGUGAAAGCCCCGGGCUUAACCUGGGAACUGCAUUUGAAACUGGUCAACUAGAGUAUGGUAGAGGAAAGUGGAAUUUCUGGUGUAGCGGUGAAAUGCGUAGAUAUCAGAAGGAACAUCAAUGGCGAAGGCAGCUUUCUGGACCAAUACUGACGCUGAGGUACGAAAGCGUGGGUAGCAAACAGGAUUAGAUACCCUGGUAGUCCACGCCGUAAACGAUGAUAACUAGCCGUUGGGGGGAUUUACCCUUUAGUGGCGAAGCUAACGCGUUAAGUUAUCCGCCUGGGGAGUACGGCCGCAAGGCUAAAACUCAAAGGAAUUGACGGGGACCCGCACAAGCGGUGGAGCAUGUGGUUUAAUUCGAUGCAACGCGAAGAACCUUACCUGGGCUUGACAUCCCCGGACCGCCCUGGAGACAGGGUUUCCCCUUCGGGGGCCGGGUGACAGGUGCUGCAUGGCUGUCGUCAGCUCGUGUCGUGAGAUGUUGGGUUAAGUCCCGCAACGAGCGCAACCCCCGCCCUUAGUUGCCAGCGGUUCGGCCGGGCACUCUGGGGGGACUGCCGGUGAUAAGCCGGAGGAAGGCGGGGACGACGUCAAGUCAUCAUGGCCCUUAUGCCCAGGGCUACACACGUGUUACAAUGGGGGCGACAGAGGGCCGCAAAGCCGCGAGGUGGAGCGAAUCCCCAAAAGCCCCCCCAGUUCGGAUCGCAGUCUGCAACUCGACUGCGUGAAGCCGGAAUCGCUAGUAAUCGCGGAUCAGCACGCCGCGGUGAAUCCGUUCCCGGGCCUUGUACACACCGCCCGUCACACCAUGGGAGUCGGCGGGGGCGGAAGCCGCCGGGCCAACCUCUUCGGAGGGGGCAGGCGUCCAAGCUCACGUCGGCGACUGGGGUGAAGUCGUAACAAGGUAACC
Molecule: ribosomal RNA, 1504 nt
Filed under: uncultured bacterium
Lineage: Bacteria
Description: partial 16S ribosomal RNA
Rfam family: Bacterial small subunit ribosomal RNA
Source: RNAcentral